GAGAGAGAGAGAGAGGAGAAAAGUAAAAAGCAGAGGUGAUUUGACUCCCACUGUUCAUCAUCUUCCCCACUUUCGCUGCCCCAAUCGCCAGUUUCUCUUCACCCGCGCUGCGCUCACACCGCCGGUCUCCACCAGCCAUCGUCGCGCCAACUCGACGACCCGUGAAGCUCCGCCGCGCCUGAGCCCCGCUCCGACAGCUCGCUUCGUCCGACGCCAAUAGCCGCGACCCAGCCUUCCUUGCUUGCUGCUCGCGGCCCCUGACGACAGCAGGUCCAGAUCCGAACGCCGGCCUCCGAGCAGCAACGCAGCCACGCCUUAGCCGGUGAUUCGCCUGCAGCCCGCACCGACCCACGACGGUCCGACGUCGCCCCGCCGCACCUCCUCCGCGAGCAAACCGCGACGCCAGCAGGUCCCGAGCGGCCGCUGCACCGCCGCGUCCUGCAACCCUCUGCCAUCCGACGCUGCGACUCGUCUGCAACCCGCGACCCAGCAGAUCCCGAGCCGGUUCGCCGUACCCCCCGCGAAAUUGCUGCUGCCUCGCCGAUCCGCUCCACCAGACCGACGAAGCCCACCGCGCCUCAACCGAUUUCCGUCCCCGAUCUGCCGCUCCGGAGCUGCUGCCCGACGCCGUUGCUCACCCUCUCGCCGGUGCCCGAACGCCGAUUGCUUCGCCCGUGCCGCCCCUGUCCCGCUUGACCCGUGACCAGUUGCUGUAGCUGCGUCCACCAGCCACCGAGUCCCUUCGCCGGAGCUCCAACCACCGUGACCUCCGUUGACGGUGACCCACCACCACAGCCACUGCCCUUGCCGGACUAAUCAACCAGCUUCCCGAUCCACUGCUUCAGUGACCAGCCUUGCACGAGCAAGCUUUGUGGGAAAAUAAAAGAAAAAAGGAAAAUUAGGUAGUUUAUUUAUUUAUUUAUCUUUUUUUUGAAGUCUUUAUUAUUUUUCCUUUAUAGUUUUUUUUAGUAGACUUGUUCCUUAAAUGUAUGAUUGAUAUUCCGACAUGAAAAAGUCCCUCAAGCUAGGGAUUGAUAGUCCGAUUUUCGCGCUCGAAAUCCGACUCGCAAUCCCUUACAAAAAUUGACAAUCCAAUCUCAAG
Molecule: long non-coding RNA, 1102 nt
Filed under: Eucalyptus grandis
Lineage: Eukaryota; Viridiplantae; Streptophyta; Magnoliopsida; Myrtales; Myrtaceae
Description: long non-coding RNA (EGRA_LNC006446)
Source: RNAcentral